UAAGUUUAGUGACAACUACACAGUUUCGGCCGGAGACCGACAACGUUAGUAAACUACCUAAACUAACAAGGGCUUCUUUAUUCACGUAUAACUAUAAAUAAUUUUUNUUAUGUGUUAUACACCAGGCCAAAUAAACAAAUAAAGCCAAAUAAACAAAUAAAAUAGUAGGCCAAAGCAGGUAACAUGAUCCAUACUCAACCCCUGUUAUCACGAAAUUGGCCAAGUAGCUUAAUUUAACUACGUUAUAGAAAUAGUUGGCUCCGCAAUCCCGAAGGGGUCUUUAGUUGUAGCUUUCUUUGGUUGCAGUCCUACUACAACGGAGUAAAACGGCAGGCUUUCGGCCACGUAACGUUAUAAGUGUCCCGAUUUUUAGUUUGCAACUUUGUUCUUAAUCUACUACGUUAAGUUUCGCUAGGGAAAUACUACUAGUUGACGUGUGAACUUGAAACUCAAGUUAUAAGAGCUUUUAGCUUGAAUAAACGUAGCUUAAUUACGUAAAGUUACUUUGGCUAAGCCAACGAAACCGUUGGUUUAGAGGCCGUAGGCCUAAGCCGUCGUUAAGCCACACGUAAGCUUGGCCGUUGCACAUCCGACCAUAGGCCGGAUAAUACUUAUUAUAGUUUCGGUCGGAGGCUUAUUUGGAUUUUAUCGUCAUUGUAGCUUAAAGAUGUUUUUAGGAGCAAAGCCCAGUGAGUUGGCACUUAACUUAGUGAACAUGUCGGCUCACGGAGCUUUGUCCCUGAUUUGCCGAAGUCGACAAAGUAUAAAAUAAAAGACCAUGCUCCGCCGUUUACUAGGCUUUGGCCGAGGACUAGCUUGGUCUGAGACC
This 829-nucleotide long non-coding RNA is filed under the name Volvox carteri. Its description in RNAcentral is "long non-coding RNA (VCAR_LNC004374)". Lineage: Eukaryota; Viridiplantae; Chlorophyta; Chlorophyceae; Chlamydomonadales; Volvocaceae. The record is from RNAcentral.